Molecule: ribosomal RNA, 266 nt
Filed under: uncultured bacterium
Lineage: Bacteria
Description: partial 16S ribosomal RNA
Rfam family: Bacterial small subunit ribosomal RNA
Source: RNAcentral
GUCCACGCCGUAAACUAUGGACACUAGGUGUGGGGGGUAUCGACCCCCUCCUGUGCCGAAGCUAACGCAAUAAGUGUCCCGCCUGGGGAGUACGGCCGCAAGGCUAAAACUCAAAGGAAUUGACGGGGGCCCGCACAAGCAGCGGAGCGUGCGGUUUAAUUCGUCGCAACGCGAAGAACCUUACCAAGGCUUGACAUGCUAGUGGUACCGAUCCGAAAGGUGAGGGACCCUUCGGGGAGCUAGCACAGGUGCUGCAUGGCUGUUGU